This 75-nucleotide transfer RNA is filed under the name Herbaspirillum sp. RNAcentral describes it as "tRNA-Tyr". It matches the Rfam family "tRNA". From Rfam's summary of the family: Transfer RNA (tRNA) molecules are approximately 80 nucleotides in length. Lineage: Bacteria; Pseudomonadati; Pseudomonadota; Betaproteobacteria; Burkholderiales; Oxalobacteraceae. The record is from RNAcentral.
CCCAUCGAUGGCUCAGUUGGUAGAGCGGAGGACUGUAGAUCCUUUGGUCGCUGAUUCAAGUCCAGCUUGAAGGAA